RNAcentral lists this unclassified non-coding RNA (1055 nucleotides) under Hevea brasiliensis (rubber tree). The record is from RNAcentral. Lineage: Eukaryota; Viridiplantae; Streptophyta; Magnoliopsida; Malpighiales; Euphorbiaceae.
CAACUGAUCGUCCAGAUCCACACUGCACAAGUAUAACGAGAUCAGAAAAGAGAAAUACAGCAAAAUGAAAACAAUAAGAAAUUACAAUGAGCAAAUCAAGGUUGAGAAAGAGAGUUCCAAAAACACACUACAAUGUAAACACCUAGUGAAGGCAUUAAUUUAAAUAAGACAUACCAAUGCAGUAAGCAAAACCUUCUACAUCGCAUUGUAAAACCAGCGCAGUUAAUGUCAGUACUAUAUUUCACAUCAAGGAGAAUCUCGUAAUACAAAAGCUGACUAAAGCAUAUCAAGAGUAAUGGUUCUAUUGGGAAACAAUCUUCAUCAGGUUACCACUUACAUAAGCAGCAGAACAAGAAGAAGAAAGAGUUGGCCUCAGAAGCACUCAAUAUAUGUGUCAUGGGCCGAACAAUCUGACAAUGUAGGCAAAUCUUAAAUCAUCCUAGGCCUCCUCAAAACAAGAUUUGGCAAAUGACAAUUUAGAUAAACUAUCAUAGCAAUUACAGCAAAACUGAAAAAUUACUAUAUAACAUUUUCCAAGUCAAUAUCAAAAAUAGCAAAAUAAGGCCAAAUGCAUCCAGAGACCCUUGUACUUAUCUCAAAUGUGCAAUUGGGCCCUUCACAAUCUAUUUUGUUUAAUUAGAUAAACUUUUCUCGAAUGUACUUAUCACAAAUGCUGGCAUGUUUCUACUAAAACCCAACCUCGAUCAGGUUACCAUGUACAUCAUAAGAACACAAUCCAACAAUUUAGGCAAAUCUUAAAAUCAUCCUAGGCCUCCUCAAGAUAAAAAAAAUGGCAUGUAACAAUUUUAGAUAUGCUUUCAUGUCAAUAACAGAAAAACUGACAAAAAUCAAUAUACAAUUUUCCAAAUCAAUAUCAAAAGCAAAUAAAUAAAUAAGGCCACAUCCACCUACAAGCCCCGGUGCUUAUCUCAAAUGAGCAAUUGGGCCCUUAACAUUAUACUUUGUUCAAUUGCACACAAAACAUUCAUCAGGCUACCAUGAACAAAAGGAGGAGGAGAGGCCUCAGAACCACUCAAUAUAUCUGUCAUGUGCUA